Long non-coding RNA from Cornus florida, 777 nucleotides. RefSeq lists it as uncharacterized. The record is from RefSeq and is a predicted model, not a curated record. Lineage: Eukaryota; Viridiplantae; Streptophyta; Magnoliopsida; Cornales; Cornaceae. The transcript has 3 exons.
CUUCAGGACAUUGUCCCUUAAAUUUUCGCCUACAAAACCCCGCCUCCACUAGUGCUCAUAGGUCGGUCAUCGAACGAUGCUUGCUGAUAAUUCUGAGCAACUGUAAAUUAGGGUUUCCGUUGGCCGUUCACUCGAGGCCGAACAAUGUGUUAAUAAUAUGACCAAAUCCACAGAUGAAUCAGCUGAAGUAGAAUUAGAGGGUCGACCUGCUAGGCUAGGACUAGGUGCAACAGUCCAAAAUUGGGCAUUCAAAUGACCCUGUUGAAAGGAAAUUGCUGGCUAAAUUGAAUAUUGGAAGAAUAAAUGCAUCCAAAAAGACUCUGGAAUCCACCCCGUCUGCAAGAGAUGGAUGUGGUGAUACUGAUGAUGACGAGGACGACUUGGAUAGCAGAACCAAUACAUUUGCCAAGAAGAGGCCAGUGCCUUUGACCUCAUCUUUACAGGUAAAGAAGAAGAAGAAGAAGAAGAAGAAGUAACUGUUCCUUGCCAAAAUGAAAGCUUUCAAGUGCUUUUAUUACUUUCUUGACACAGGUUGAUGAAUUUCAUUUAUUUCAUUAAAUCUUCAUAUUGUCCCUUAGUUUCCUUGUACCCAUUUUGGGAAAGUGGCUAUUACCAAUGACGCCUCCCUUCGGACAGGUACUGUAAUGUUAUUUCUAGAUUGUUAAAAUGGAAAAUGUAUAUUAGGGCUCUUUAAUUUUGCGCUAUACAACUAAUUUAUAUGUUUGUGAGCUCAAUGAGCUUUAGCUUCAUAGUUUAUGAAUUUUUUCUUCGACUUUA